This is a non-coding RNA of Hanseniaspora opuntiae, 1787 nucleotides long. The record is from Rfam. NCBI's taxonomy places the organism in Eukaryota, Fungi, Ascomycota, Saccharomycetes, Saccharomycodales, Saccharomycodaceae.
UAUCUGGUUGAUCCUGCCAGUAGUCAUAUGCUUGUCUCAAAGAUUAAGCCAUGCAUGUCUAAGUAUAAGCAAUUUAUACAGUGAAACUGCGAAUGGCUCAUUAAAUCAGUUAUCGUUUAUUUGAUAGUUUCUUUACUACAUGGAAUACCUGUGGUAAUUCUAGAGCUAAUACAUGCUUAAAAUCCCAACUCACGAAGGGAUGUAUUUAUUAGAUAAAAAAUCAAUGUCUUCGGACUUCUGAUGAUUCAUAAUAACUUUUCGAAUCGCAUGGCUUUAUGCUGGCGAUGGUUCAUUCAAAUUUCUGCCCUAUCAACUUUUGAUGGUAGGAUAGUGGCCUACCAUGGUUUCAACGGGUAACGGGGAAUAAGGGUUCGAUUCCGGAGAGGGAGCCUGAGAAACGGCUACCACAUCCAAGGAAGGCAGCAGGCGCGCAAAUUACCCAAUCCUAAUUCAGGGAGGUAGUGACAAUAAAUAACGAUACAGGGCUUUAUGUCUUGUAAUUGGAAUGAGUACAAUUUAAAUACCUUAACGAGGAACAAUUGGAGGGCAAGUCUGGUGCCAGCAGCCGCGGUAAUUCCAGCUCCAAUAGCGUAUAUUAAAGUUGUUGCAGUUAAAAAGCUCGUAGUUGAACUUUGGGCUUGGAGAAUCGGUCCAACUUUGUUGUGUACUGUCUUCUCCAGGUCUUUCCUUCUGGUUCUCAUUUGGGGUUUACUCCAUUUGUUGAUCCAGGAUUUUUACUUUGAAAAAAUUAGAGUGUUCAAAGCAGGCGUUUUGCUCGAAUAUAUUAGCAUGGAAUAAUAGAAUAGGACGAUUGGUUCUAUUUUGUUGGUUUCUAGGACCAUCGUAAUGAUUAAUAGGGACGGUCGGGGGCAUCAGUAUUCAGUUGUCAGAGGUGAAAUUCUUGGAUUUACUGAAGACUAACUACUGCGAAAGCAUUUGUCAAGGACGUUUUCAUUAAUCAAGAACGAAAGUUAGGGGAUCGAAGAUGAUCAGAUACCGUCGUAGUCUUAACCAUAAACUAUGCCGACUAGGGAUCGGGCGGUGCCUUUUAUUGGCCCACUCGGCACCUUACGAGAAAUCAAAGUUUUUGGGUUCUGGGGGGAGUAUGGUCGCAAGGCUGAAACUUAAAGGAAUUGACGGAAGGGCACCACCAGGAGUGGAGCCUGCGGCUUAAUUUGACUCAACACGGGGAAACUCACCAGGUCCAGACACAAUAAGGAUUGACAGAUUGAGAGCUCUUUCUUGAUUUUGUGGGUGGUGGUGCAUGGCCGUUCUUAGUUGGUGGAGUGAUUUGUCUGCUUAAUUGCGAUAACGAACGAGACCUUAACCCUUAAAUAGAGUUGCUGGCAUUUGCUGGUAAAUCUUCUUAUGGGGACUAUCGAUUUCAAGUCGAUGGAAGUUUGAGGCAAUAACAGGUCUGUGAUGCCCUUAGACGUUCUGGGCCGCACGCGCGCUACACUGACGGAGCCAGCGAGCUUUUCCUUAACCGAGAGGUUUGGGUAAUCUUGUGAAACUCCGUCGUGCUGGGGAUAGAGCAUUGUAAUUAUUGCUCUUCAACGAGGAAUUCCUAGUAAGCGCAAGUCAUCAGCUUGCGUUGAUUACGUCCCUGCCCUUUGUACACACCGCCCGUCGCUAGUACCGAUUGAAUGGCUUAGUGAGGCUUCAGGAUUUGCUUAGAUCGAGGGGCAACUCUCUUUCAGAGCGGAGAAUCUAGUCAAACUUGGUCAUUUAGAGGAACUAAAAGUCGUAACAAGGUUUCCGUAGGUGAACCUGCGGAAGGAUCAUUA